AGUGAACGCUGGCGGUAGGUCUAACACAUGCAAGUCGAACGGCAGCACAGUAAGAGCUUGCUAUUAGGGGUGGCGAGUGGCGGACGGGUGGGGAAUACAUCGGAAUCUACUUUUUCGUGGGGGAUAACGUAGGGAAACUUACGCUAAUACCGCAUACGACCUACGCGUGAAAGCAGGGGAUCUUCGGACCUUGCGCGAUUGAAUGAGCCGAUGUCGGAUUAGCUAGUUGGCGGGGUAAAGGCCCACCAAGGCGACGAUCCGUAGCUGGUCUGAGAGGAUGAUCAGCUACACUGGAACUGAGAGACGGUCCAGACUCCUACGGGAGGCAGCAGUGGGGAAUAUUGGACAAUGGGCGAAAGCCUGAUCCAGCCACACCGCGUGGGUGCAGAAGGCCUUCGGGUUGUAAAGCCCUUUUGUUGGGAAAGAAAAGCAGCAGGUUAAUACCCCGCUGUUCUGACGGUACCCAAAGAAUAAGCACCGGCUAACUUCGUG
RNAcentral lists this ribosomal RNA (492 nucleotides) under uncultured bacterium. Its description in RNAcentral is "partial 16S ribosomal RNA". It matches the Rfam family "Bacterial small subunit ribosomal RNA", at positions 29 to 507 of the family's 1533-position model. The record is from RNAcentral.